This is a long non-coding RNA of Mytilus californianus (California mussel), 5860 nucleotides long. RefSeq lists it as uncharacterized. The transcript is spliced from 4 exons. The record is from RefSeq and is a predicted model, not a curated record. Lineage: Eukaryota; Metazoa; Mollusca; Bivalvia; Mytilida; Mytilidae.
UCCGACACAGAUGAAUCAUACGAAAAAUAAUAAAUUCACUAUGCGCAUUGUCAUUUUAUGCAGUACAGUAAUACCCGUGACCACUGUCAUUAUCUGCUGCAUUGUACUUAUAAAAAGAAGACGGCAAGAAAGGCCAUCGGAUUCUUUUCAACUAACGGACUCUAAGAAAGAUAUACCUCAAUGGAUGAAAGAUUGUAUAAUCAACGACGUUGUAGACUGGCCAAAGCUGUUUGGUUGUUGUUCUACUCAAGGUUUAUUGCUACCAGACUGGGAAUCCUUCAUACGACUUUUGUGCAGGGGAUCAGAUAUGUCAGAGCAGGGAGAAAGAAUCGUAGCCUUAAGUAAAGAAUCGUUUGAUAAAGACAAACCCCAAUCUCGUAUGUAUUAUGCCAUGGAUCUUUGGAAGCAGAAAAAUGACACAGGAGACGAUAUUAAAAUGUUAAAUACUUUUGCCUGUGCAUUUCGUAAUCAUCAAACUUCUGUGAGAGGAGUGAUCUGUUGUUUUAGAUAACAAGAAGUAUCUUUGGCAUGUGACGGUUAGUUUCAUCUUAUCUUUGCUCAACUACUUCAUUAUCCAAAAAAUUGAAAACAAAUUUGCUUGUUAGGAAACCGGUGAUGUCUAUAUACGAAUAGAACAAUAAGUUCUUGAUUAAUUUAUGUCGGUUUCUGUCCCAUCCAAAUGUACUUUAAAUCUCCUUUUUUUAAUAUAUGAAGUAAUUAUGUAACACGAUAUGUAAAGUAAAAUACUACUUGUAAUUAAUUACUCCAAGAUAUUUUUGUACAAAAUGAAUUAUUCAGUAUACUUUAAUCAAUUGUUGCUUUUUAUCGCUGUUUAAUUUUGACUAAAUUGAAACUUCCAUAGUCUGAUUUUCGUUAUUUUAAAAUUUCAAAUGCUUCCCACGAAAUUAUACAUUUGUUUUAAAUUUUACGAUGAGACCUGCUGAUGGAUUCCAGAUAUUCUUGCAAAAAAUUGAUAUCACAGGUAUAAAUACUCCUUUGUCGAAAUUGAUUAUUUAAUUAAGUCUUUUUCUGUAAACGUAUUGUUCAUAUCUAUUCUCAGGCAUAGACAACCUUAGCCAUAUUUGGUGUAACAUUUUUAUGGUCUUCAACUUCAUAUUGAUCAGUAAGAGCAGAACGCCAAAUGAUGAGUCUAAUGGUGUUGAAACACGCGUCUUUGUAAGACAUAUAAGGUAUAUGUAAAAGUUGAUCGAGCAUAUUUUACAUUUGAGUUUUCAACUUUUUAGUUAAUAAUAUUUUUCUAGUAAAAACAAACGAUAUAUACGUAAGGUGUAUUUGAUAGUAUCAAAGAAAUAUGGCUUCUUCGGUCGUCUCCAAUCGGUAAUACGACAUUUACUUUACCAAAAUACAGCUGCCGUUUAUGGUAAGCGCUGAAUAAUGAAUACUUUGUAAGGACUGCAAAACAUGUACAACACAAGUUAUAUAAAACUCCAAAAUAUAUCGGGUUUGCAAUGUCUUUGUAUCAGAUAGAAUCUCAUUUUACAUCAAGUCUUUUAUGUACUUGCUCAUUAUUUUAUUAUUGUAUCACAUAUGUAUGUGUAUACUUAAAAACCUAUACCUGUUAUAGAAAAACGUUCAAGGUGCAAAUGUGUCUUCCGAUAACAAAAUAGUUGAAAGAGUCUUUUAAAAUUUUAUGUAUUUUUUUACCUUAUUGAAUAUUAUAUCUAGUUUGUGAUAUCUACUAUAUAUGUGCCAAUAAAGUGAUCUGUUAGAUUUUAUAUUUUUAUAUGAUGUCCCGUUAAUUAUAUAGUUAUUAUCUGUUAUAAUAUUUAUUGUUGUUUUGUUUAUUUUUCUCUGAUAUCUAUAUUCUUAGUAAUUUUUGCUAAGUGAAGUCUCUAAUUUUCCUAAAUUAUGAAAUACGUAUUGUUGCAAGAUUCGUAUCAUCAAAUGUUUAUUUGUUUAGUGAAGCGUCCAUUGAUGACAGGAAUAAUUUCCGAAUAUUUACGAAAAAUUUGCAAUUGGACAUAACGCAACACGUUUUCGAUCUAUACUUGUCUGUAUACCUGUCGUGAUGAUUUAGAUUUGCUAUUUGAAUGCAGAAGAGUAAUAAUAGUGUCUACUUUUUAUCUGAAACAUAGAAUAUCUACAGUAAAAAAAUCACACUAAAUUGCAGGUCUUUCAAAUUUUGGCCUAUUUGGUUCUUGCAUCUUAACCACAUAAAAUUAAUUCUAUAUUUUAAAUAUCAAAAAUGCAUACGUAUUUAAAAUUUUGAUAUCUAUGUUAAACAAAUAUUUAAUAGAAGAAUGUUGUUUUUUUUAAACUAUGGUUAUUAUAUCAAUAUUAUAAUUAUUGUUUUUUAUUAGUCUUAUUUGUGAUCGUUUGAGUAAUUUGUAUAAAUAUAUAUUCAUACAAUACAAGAUCUCAUUAUAUAUAUGCCUUUCUAUUUAUGUACUAUUAUUAUCCAAGGUUUUACACUUAUUUUGUAGAUUUUUAUUGCAAUCAUAUAUUCAUUAUCCAUAUUGGUAAAACAUAUACGCAUGUUACGUCUAUUGAAAGUUUAUUUACAUAAUUAACAAUAUCACUACAUUUGUAUUAUAAUACUGUAUUAACUUAGAUAUUGAAAUAAUAUUCUAUUGAUGUUGAGAGUAUUUGUAUAACAUUGUUUAUUGAUGAAAAAAAUAUAUUCAAAUAUAUAUGUAACUUAUCCUGUCGCAACACAGUAGCUUUACUGAUUGAACAACGUCUGUCAUUAACCGUCAUUGUAUAGUUGCCCUUUGGUUUUUAAAAGUGUUGGUCUACCUUUGUUUGUCCAUUGCUAUUUUAAACAUAAUCAAAUAUACCUUUCGUUAAAACUAACAUGUGAUAGAAGCCGACCUAAAACACACUAAACAAUAAAUUUGUGAGUGAUAAUCAAAAUUUCAGUAUAAUUAAAUUCAAUUCAGUACUAUAAAUACACCUCGCUUACAGUGAAUUAAGAUCUAUUAUGUAUAUUUUCACAAUGUUAUUAUUUGUAUGGUGACAUAAGUUAUUUCUGAAUUGUCUAAAUAGAAAAUUAUCUGUAAUUCAUUGUCUCUAAGUGAAAGGCUUGCAUAGCACUAGAGUUAAAUCCAAUACAGGCAACAGUAGUAUACAGGUCCUAAAUCGAUUAAGAGAAAACAAAUCCUGGUUACAAACUAAAACCGAGGGAAACACAUCAACAUAUCCGAAACAUAGCAAAUUCCACAAUUACCAUUGCAUAGAAAAAUCGAUUAAAUUUUUUAAACAUCAAGGUAGCCUGGUCCUGCAUCUGAAUUAAAUGCUAACCAAACAUAACCCAAUGAUGGGACAUGCAGAAGACUGGUCAAAAUAAUCGAAACAAAUAAAAUAUCAAAAACAUUUAGUACAUAAAACCAUGCUUCAGUAUGGAAGAUAAGAUUUAAAUGAUAUUUUUGUUUUGUAGUGGCGGAUCCAGGGGGGGGGAGGGUUUACGGGGGUUUAAAACCCCCCUUUUUUGACGAUCAAUGCAUUUGAAUGGGGACAUAUAGUUGGAACCCUCCCCCUUUUAUCCAGGGUUAGGAUUUUAUAUUUUUAUAUGAUGUCCCGUUAAUUAUAUAGUUAUUAUCUGUUAUAAUAUUUAUUGUUGUUUUGUUUAUUUUUCUCUGAUAUCUAUAUUCUUAGUAAUUUUUGCUAAGUGAAGUCUCUAAUUUUCCUAAAUUAUGAAAUACGUAUUGUUGCAAGAUUCGUAUCAUCAAAUGUUUAUUUGUUUAGUGAAGCGUCCAUUGAUGACAGGAAUAAUUUCCGAAUAUUUACGAAAAAUUUGCAAUUGGACAUAACGCAACACGUUUUCGAUCUAUACUUGUCUGUAUACCUGUCGUGAUGAUUUAGAUUUGCUAUUUGAAUGCAGAAGAGUAAUAAUAGUGUCUACUUUUUAUCUGAAACAUAGAAUAUCUACAGUAAAAAAAUCACACUAAAUUGCAGGUCUUUCAAAUUUUGGCCUAUUUGGUUCUUGCAUCUUAACCACAUAAAAUUAAUUCUAUAUUUUAAAUAUCAAAAAUGCAUACGUAUUUAAAAUUUUGAUAUCUAUGUUAAACAAAUAUUUAAUAGAAGAAUGUUGUUUUUUUUAAACUAUGGUUAUUAUAUCAAUAUUAUAAUUAUUGUUUUUUAUUAGUCUUAUUUGUGAUCGUUUGAGUUAUUUGUAUAAAUAUAUAUUCAUACAAUACAAGAUCUCAUUAUAUAUAUGCCUUUCUAUUUAUGUACUAUUAUUAUCCAAGGUUUUACAUUUAUUUUGUAGAUUUUUAUUGCAAUCAUAUAUUCAUUAUCCAUAUUGGUAAAACAUAUACGCAUGUUACGUCUAUUGAAAGUUUAUUUACAUAAUUAACAAUAUCACUACAUUUGUAUUAUAAUACUGUAUUAACUUAGAUAUUGAAAUAAUAUUCUAUUGAUGUUGAGAGUAUUUGUAUAACAUUGUUUAUUGAUGAAAAAAAUAUAUUCAAAUAUAUAUGUAACUUAUCCUGUCGCAACACAGUAGCUUUACUGAUUGAACAACGUCUGUCAUUAACCGUCAUUGUAUAGUUGCCCUUUGGUUUUUAAAAGUGUUGGUCUACCUUUGUUUGUCCAUUGCUAUUUUAAACAUAAUCAAAUAUACCUUUCGUUAAAACUAACAUGUGAUAGAAGCCGACCUAAAACACACUAAACAAUAAAUUUGUGAGUGAUAAUCAAAAUUUCAGUAUAAUUAAAUUCAAUUCAGUACUAUAAAUACACCUCGCUUACAGUGAAUUAAGAUCUAUUAUGUAUAUUUUCACAAUGUUAUUAUUUGUAUGGUGACAUAAGUUAUUUCUGAAUUGUCUAAAUAGAAAAUUAUCUGUAAUUCAUUGUCUCUAAGUGAAAGGCUUGCAUAGCACUAGAGUUAAAUCCAAUACAGGCAACAGUAGUAUACAGGUCCUAAAUCGAUUCAGAGAAAACAAAUCCUGGUUACAAACUAAAACCGAGGGAAACACAUCAACAUAUCCGAAACAUAGCAAAUUCCACAAUUACCAUUGCAUAGAAAAAUCGAUUAAAUUUUUUAAACAUCAAGGUAGCCUAGUCCUGCAUCUGAAUUAAAUGCUAACCAAACAUAACCCAAUGAUGGGACAUGCAGAAGACUGGUCAAAAUAAUCGAAACAAAUAAAAUAUCAAAAACAUUUAGUACAUAAAACCAUGCUUCAGUAUGGAAGAUAAGAUUUAAAUGAUAUUUUUGUUUUGUAGUGGCGGAUCCAGGGGGGAGGGUUUACGGGGGUUUAAAACCCCCCUUUUUUGACGAUCAAUGCAUUUGAAUGGGGACAUAUAGUUGGAACCCUCCCCCUUUUAUCCAGGGUUAGGAACCCCCCCCCUUUUAUAAAUGGCUGGAUCCUCCCCUGUUUUGCUUUAUAUUAUACUUAACUGCCGUUGAAACUCACCCAGAAAAAAACUGCCGUUGACUGUUUUUUUUUUUUUUUUUUUGUUCUGUAAAGCUCUCGUUUCUAUUUUAUUGCUCUCCAAGGCUCUCAAACUUUUUAAAUUUUGUGUUAUUCCAACUUUAAUGACGUGCAUAUUUGGUGACAGUUAUUCCCGAAACACGUGUUAGUACGAUAGACAUAAUUUUUAUUUCUAUUCCACAGUAAUACGAAACUGUUUAAAAUAUUGGGUUGAAUCCUUUAAUAUCUUAGAUCAUGUUUGAGGUAUUUUUGAUUUACUGUUCAAAGUUCAGAAACCGACAAAAGAGAGAAAAAAGUAUGAAUUGUAAAAUUUUAAUUGUUGGAGUAGCUUUUGGUACGACAGUAAUGAAUUAAUAUGCAUUGAUUGAAGACCGCCCUUAAUUGUCUUUGCACGAAAUAUUGUUAAGAACAGUAGUUGUAUCAUGUUUGAAUGACACUGAUUGGUUUUAUAUAAACGUAUUAUCUUCUAA